RNAcentral lists this non-coding RNA (31 nucleotides) under Rattus norvegicus (Norway rat). Lineage: Eukaryota; Metazoa; Chordata; Mammalia; Rodentia; Muridae. The record is from RNAcentral.
UAAAGAGGCAAGAUAAAGCUAGGUUAUUGGU